This 422-nucleotide ribosomal RNA is filed under the name uncultured bacterium. RNAcentral describes it as "partial 16S ribosomal RNA". It matches the Rfam family "Bacterial small subunit ribosomal RNA", at positions 360 to 774 of the family's 1533-position model. The record is from RNAcentral.
AAUCUUCGACAAUGGACGACAGUCUGAUGGAGCAACGCCGCGUGAGGGAAGAAGGUUUUCGGAUCGUACAGCUCUGUUGCGAGGGAAGAACAAGUACGGGAGUAACUGCCCUUACCUUGACGGUACCUCGUCAGAAAGCCACGUCUCACUACGUGCCAGCAGCCGCGGUAAGACGUAGGUGGCAAGCGUUGUCCGGAAUUGUUGGGCGUAAAGCGAGCGAAGGCGGUCCUUUAAGUCUGAUGUGAAAGCCCACGGCUCAACCGUGGAGGGUCAUUGGAAACUGGAGGACUUGAGUACAGAAGAGGAAAGCGGAAUUCCACGUGUAGCGGUGAAAUGCGUAGAGAUGUGGAGGAACACCAGUGGCGAAGGCGGCUUUCUGGUCUGUAACUGACGCUGAGGCGCGAAAGCGUGGGGAGCAAACA